Molecule: ribosomal RNA, 459 nt
Filed under: uncultured bacterium
Lineage: Bacteria
Description: partial 16S ribosomal RNA
Rfam family: Bacterial small subunit ribosomal RNA
Source: RNAcentral
CCUACGGGCGGCAGCAGUGAGGAAUAUUGGUCAAUGGGCGAGAGCCUGAACCAGCCAAGUCGCGUGAGGGAGUACUGCCCUAUGGGUUGUAAACCUCUUUUGUCGGGGAGCAAAAGCCGGACGUGUCCGGCUGUGAGAGUACCCGAAGAAAAAGCAUCGGCUAACUCCGUGCCAGCAGCCGCGGUAAUACGGAGGGUGCGAGCGUUAAUCGGAAUUACUGGGCGUAAAGCGCUCGUAGGCGGUAUGUCAAGUCAAGGGUGAAAUCCCCGCGCUCAACGUGGGAACUGCCUUUGAAACUGGCAAACUGGAGUGUGUGAGAGGAUAGUGGAAUUCCAGGUGUAGGAGUGAAAUCCGUAGAUAUCUGGAGGAACAUCAGUGGCGAAGGCGACUAUCUGGCACAUAACUGACGCUGAGGAGCGAAAGCGUGGGUAGCAAACAGGAUUAGAUACCCUUGUAGUC